UUAAAACAAACAGAGAAGGCUCCCUCCCCUCUCUCAAAUCUGGCCUAACGUCCGGCUCGGCCUCCGGCGUAGCACCGCCGUGUGCGGUGGCCAACGGCUCAAAAUCGGAUCUUUUUUAUCCUAGUUCGAAGCCGAGUGUCUCCUAGGCACGGAUCUGGGGCCGGAUCUCGUGAAACAAGGGCCGAAGACCCGAAAAAAGGGCGAAACCGUUCGCCUUCCUCCACCUCCGGCGCGGCGCAGGUAAGGUGCAGUUGGGCAAUGGCAGAAAGCAGGUGCAGCGCUGGUCAGAGGCGGUGGCAGGGGGUAGGUGGACGAAGGCCCUAGGUGCGGCGCACCUAGGGUGGCUGCUGUUUUUUUUUUCUGCAAAUUGGCUAGGGUUAGGUAGAUUGGGCUGAAUUGGGUUGCUGAUUUGGGCUUUGGUUUUGGUGGGUUAGGCUUAGUUGGGCCUGGGUAGGUUUUGUUUUUGUUUGGGUUAUGGGUUGUAAUGGGUUAGGUCAAAAUGGGUCUGAACAACAAUAAGUUGUAUAUUUGGACAUACACAACUAUAUUAGAAUAAUUAUAUGAUUUAAAAAAUUUAAAUGACCACACAAA
Molecule: long non-coding RNA, 591 nt
Organism: Gossypium raimondii (Peruvian cotton)
Lineage: Eukaryota; Viridiplantae; Streptophyta; Magnoliopsida; Malvales; Malvaceae
Exons: 2
Source: RefSeq, a predicted model, not a curated record